Molecule: ribosomal RNA, 509 nt
Filed under: uncultured bacterium
Lineage: Bacteria
Description: bacterial SSU rRNA
Rfam family: Bacterial small subunit ribosomal RNA
Source: RNAcentral
GAUUAUGGCUCAGGAUGAACGCUAGCGGCAGGCUUAACACAUGCAAGUCGAGGGGCAGCGCGAGUAGCAAUACUUGGCGGCGACCGGCGCAAGGGUGCGUAACGCGUGAGCAACAUGCCCGUAUCAGGGGGAUAAUCCAGGGAAACUUGGUCUAAUACCCCAUAGUAAUUUUGUAAGGCAUCUUAUAAGAUUUAAAGCUUUGGUGGAUACGGAUUGGCUCGCGUGACAUUAGCUGGAUGGUAAGGUAACGGCUUACCAUGGCUAUGAUGUCUAGGGGUUCUGAGAGGAAGGUCCCCCACACUGGAACUGAGACACGGUCCAGACUCCUACGGGAGGCAGCAGUGAGGAAUAUUGGACAAUGGAUGGAAAUCUGAUCCAGCCAUGCCGCGUGAAAGGAAGAAGGUCCUAUGGAUUGUAAACUUCUUUUGUAUGGGAGCAAUAAGGCCUACGAGUAGGUUGAUGAGAGUACCAUACGAAUAAGCACCGGCUAACUCCGUGCCAGCCGCCGC